AAGACCGCGAGGUAGAGCAAAUCUCAAAAAAACAAAUCUCAGUUCAGACUGCAGGCUGCAACUCGCCUGCACGAAGUCGGAAUUGCUAGUAAUCGUAGGUCAGCAUACUACGGUGAAUACGUUCCCGGGCCUUGUACACACCGCCCGUCAAACCAUGAGAGUUAGCAACACCCGAAGUCGGUAGUCUAACCGCAAGGAGGACGCCGCCGAAGGUGGGGUUGAUGAUUAGGGUUAAGUCGUAACAAGGUACC
Molecule: ribosomal RNA, 251 nt
Filed under: uncultured bacterium
Lineage: Bacteria
Description: partial 16S ribosomal RNA
Rfam family: Bacterial small subunit ribosomal RNA
Source: RNAcentral